Molecule: long non-coding RNA, 1625 nt
Organism: Ficedula albicollis (Collared flycatcher)
Lineage: Eukaryota; Metazoa; Chordata; Aves; Passeriformes; Muscicapidae
Source: Ensembl
AUCCAUUUUCCCCCCACACACUCAUUUCCUUGAUUCAAAUUGUGUAAGUAAUUGCGCUUGGAAUACUGUAAGUGAAUGAAAGGGGGUAUAAUGAUGCUAUGCUAUCAAGAAAUCCUUCUGGUUUGGGUUUUUUUUUUUUUUCCCUGUCAGGACUGCUGAGGGAAGUGAGACACAGCCCAGAGCUGUGUCUGAGCAAGCAGGAAAGGAGAGAGGCAGGCGAGUCCUGCAGCUCUGGACCUCCUCCAGCUGUGAGGUGCUCCUUGCUGGCCCAGCCCAGCAGCACUGGCUGUAGGGAACAUUCCACAGCCCUGCCUGCAUCCUGGGAAGGAGCUGCCCUUCCGCUGGCUACCCCACACCAGGGACAGAAGGAGCAAGCACCCCGGACCAGUCGCGGCGCUGUUGGCCGAGCGCGGAGCGGAGCGGAGCGGAGCGGAGCGGGGCGGACGGAGCGGGGCACAGCGGGGCGGAGCGAGGCUCCCGGGGCCGGAGCGGGGCGGAGCGGGGCUCCCCGGCCCUCUCCUACCCUUCUUUCCCCUUCCCUCCCCUCCCUUUCCCGGCACAGCCCCACACCAGCCCGGGGAGCGGGGCCGCCAGCCCGUCCUGCCCAGCCCUGCCCAACCCAGCCCAGCCCAGGUGAGCGGGGUCUCUGCCGUGGGGAUUCAGCGAGCAUCCUUUGGGAGGUUGGCUCCUCACCCCCUCGGGGAGCCCCCGGGAGGUGUCUGCUGCCCCGUUCUGCUCCUCCAGGGCGCUGCAUUUAUUUCGCUUCGGAGAUGAGGGCCAGUUUCUCUCGUUUUGUUUUGCUUGCUUGUUUGUUUCGUUUUUUAACACUUUUGCCUUUCUGUUGCGCUUUGGAGUUGGGGAUGUGGCAUUGUUACUCGGGGAAUGGCGUGUUUCAGAAAUGACGAGCGAGACAAAGAGUGCUGAACGAGAGCUUUCAGCCAGUCGGAAGAGAAAGGACUGGUUGCUCAGAGGGGCUCUGCAGAACUCGGAGCCUCGUUAGAGACUCUGUGGCUGUACGUGAGCUGCCCGCUCUUACAGUCAGCGCUUCUGCUCAGGAAAAUGGGGAAAGCGAAAACAUCGGGGAAGCAACCCUUUCUGCGUGUUCCCUUGGCGUGCUGGAUGUGUGUGCGUGUCACUUCUUGCUCUUGUAAAGAAGCCUCUGAGGCUGAUUUUUGGAUCUGCUCUUCUGAACUUGGCUUUCAAGGAGGGGAUGUGGAGCUCUUUUCUGGUGUUGUUUUUGCUGGCACUGUCGAGCUACCUCUGAGAAAUGUUUGCAAAACCUUUUGUGGCACAAGACGUGAUUUCUUAGAGAGUCUCAGAAAACUUUCAGGCUGCUUUGACAUGACUCCCCUAGUCGUAUUUUUUGUGAGGUUGAAAGGGCUUUUUUAACUGCUGUUCUUAACCUUUACUUUCUGACUAUUAUCUUAUGUUUGGCAAACAUAAUUUCUUUCCUUCUGUUGAUUAUUAAUAAUGUAAGAUAGCAAGGCCUGUGAACGUAGCUGCAGAGGGCCUGGGCUUUCACAAAUACAUCUUAGUAUCGCCUUAAAUCUAAAGAGGCUUAACUAACAUAUAGAAAAAAAAAGUGUUAAAAAAAGCCACAAUUCAUAUGAAGGCUUUGGGUAUUU